AGAGUCCGUUUGCAAAAAGAAAUAGAAAGUGUUGGUGAUGCUGAUGCCUGGAACACUGAUCGUGUGAAGGUCAUGAAUUCAAACAAUCCAAAAUAUAUCUUGAGAAAUUAUAUUGCCCAGAAUGCCAUAGAAGCAGCUGAAAAUGGGGAUUUCUCAGAGGUAAGAAAUGUACUGAAACUUUUAGAGCAUCCAUUCCAAGAAGCAGAAGGUUUCAGGGAGGUAAAGGAAGAUGCAGAAGAGGAGGGAGCAACUGCCACAGCAGCUGCUUGUGCUGAAGAGACCAGAAGCAGACUACCAUAUUGCAGCAAACCUCCACUUUGGGCUUCAGAGCUAUGCGUUACAUGAUCUUCAUAACUGCCUUGUUUUGUUUUUUGCUGUAAACUGAAGACUCUGAUCCUCCUUCAGCAGUGAAGAAUUCAGCAAGGCAAAUAUCAAAGUGCUAUUAAGUUAUUGAAGCAACCCUACAUUUGGAUGCAUCUGCAGCACUCUUCAUCUGUCCUUAAUUGGAAGCAAUUGUUGAUCAGUGGAACAAACCAGUGACAAUUAACAGUUCCUAUACAUCAGUAAUCUCAGUGUUUUGAGGCUGAAAGUAUUUCCUUUAUCCAUACUACAUCACAAGUGUAAAGCAAUAUUUUAUGCUGAGGCAGGCUGAAUUUUGAACAUCCAAAUGCAGUUGUUGUUAUGUGAAGACAAAAAUAGCAAGACAGGAAUCUGAUCUGUUUUUGUCCGAUGUCUUAACUAAUAGUACUUCUAAUAUUUAUUUACUGCUUUCUCUAUGCAGGAACUUUUAGUCUUCUUUAUUGGAGGAACAAAUUCAGUGUUGCUUAUUUGAAGCUAUGUUUCAUUUAAUUAAGUAGUUCAUUUCUUGUGAACCUUCAGAUUGGUAUUUAAUCAUUAUCUAUUUUCAGAGAGUUUGUGCAGGGCAGGCUCAAGUUUGGAGGGAGGAAUCGAAUUUUUUUUAAGACCAGAAUUAAGGGAGUUUAUAUACAUUUGCACUUGAAAACUUGGUGGUGAAGUUUAUUCAGGCUCAGGAUGUUGCAUACAACAUGUGUAAAUAUUUACUAAACUCAUGAGUGCAGUUUGUAAGCCAGUUGCCUUGGGCAGGAUCCAUUAGCCAAAUUAGUGAACCUUAAACUACCCCAGCACUCAAAUCCAGGUUCACUGUGUAUUUUUUUCUGUGCUUCUAAGUCUCGCUGUAUGAGAAGCGUGUAUGUGGGGUGCCUGCUCAUCACACUGGUCAGUGGGGUUGUUCCAUUCCCAGUCUGGUCUUGCACCAUUUAGUUUACUUACAUGGUCUUUGAAAAAUCUUUAAGUUUGAAGUUGCCAUUCAGAAAUGUGCUAUUUGAGCUUGUGUGAAAGAUGAUGGAGGAUGUGGGAGGAGAACAGGAGCUGACUUGCUUGCAAGUUACUUAUUGGUAACGUUUCUGUUGAGGUUUCAGGGGAAAGUUGGUUGCCAUUAUUGCCACAUUAGCAAAAGAGAGUUGUUCUGUAAUUAGUUGUUACUUAGCUUUCUGAACUUCUUUCUAAAAGGCUGUUACUGAUUCAGAUACCUGCAAAGUUUGCUUUAAUGCAAAGGCUUCUCUUUUCCAAAGAGACCACUGUCUUACACUGUGAUUUAUGUGUACUCAAGUAAAUUCUUCCACUACCCCUGUGCAAGCUUGGUAUUAGCUCAGGUAGAAUUGUGCUCUUUUAAGUCUUCCUCUGUACAAGCUGUUGAAAAACAGGAAGAAAAGUUGGACUGCUGCUUAUCUGUCUGUACUAAUAAUCAGUUUGUCCUCCUUAGUGCUGCAGUACACAGACUAUGUUUUGAAUGUAAACAUUCACUCUGUCCUGCCUUCAAGCUGAAGAAACUGAUUUAUGACAAACUAGAAUCUCUGACAAGUACAGCAGUUUCUGUGAGGUUUUGGAGUUCUUGCAGAAAAGGACAAAAUAAAGGUGUAUUUACAUAGCCCGUGGAAGAAUGGUGCAGUUGAAAGAGGAAGCACCUCGAAGAAGUAGGCAGCAAGUAACGCCAGCCAGUGCAGCUGAUCAUCUUCUAGGAAUAAUCCAUUUUUGUGGGAGUUUGAGACUUUUAUUGAGGAUUAGCUUUCCUCUAAACUUGGGGUACUGGAAUCAAACCAUUUAAUGGAAACUUCUAGCAGAAAGUGAGGGCUGGGUAAAAAGGACUGCACCAGAGAGGGAAAGUGUGCCAGCAGUUUGAAAGAGGCUUCAAACGUUUCCCUGCGGAAUCAGUGGUCUCUUGCGGGGUGCCUGGUCCAGAAGGGGAGUAAUGGAGUGGGGAGAGGUUGCUCCAAGCUGAUUGACAUAACUGUGCUGAUUUUGCUUCUCAAUUUACAUCCUUCCUUGUGGGAAGCAAAGGGGAACAGAGUUUUAGAGGAGCUCUGUCUAAGCUUUUGGCUUAACAGAAUGGUCUAACAUGUAAUGAUUCUUAACCAUACCUAAGGGAUCAAGUCUUUUUAAUGGCAUCCUGAUAAUAAUUUAGGGACAUUGAGUAGAUCUGUAUUAGUAGCGGUAUGGAGAGGGAGAACAAUAUUAUAACUCUGUGUUUGAACAUAUGAGAAUUUUAAUUAACUACCAAAUUGUUGUCACCUAUAAUGCCAAAAUCAUGGAGAUACUUUGAAA
RNA transcript from Pipra filicauda (Wire-tailed manakin), 2622 nucleotides. RefSeq lists it as uncharacterized. NCBI's taxonomy places the organism in Eukaryota, Metazoa, Chordata, Aves, Passeriformes, Pipridae. The record is from RefSeq and is a predicted model, not a curated record. The transcript has 2 exons.